This is a non-coding RNA of Postia placenta MAD-698-R-SB12, 78 nucleotides long. NCBI's taxonomy places the organism in Eukaryota, Fungi, Basidiomycota, Agaricomycetes, Polyporales, Adustoporiaceae. The record is from the annotation of a RefSeq genome assembly.
GCAUUAAUGGGGUAGUGGUAACCUGGGUCGUUGCCAUACAAUCUCGACCCGCCGGGGGUUCGAUUCCCCCUUAAUGCA